This 253-nucleotide ribosomal RNA is filed under the name uncultured bacterium. RNAcentral's name for it is "partial 16S ribosomal RNA". It matches the Rfam family "Bacterial small subunit ribosomal RNA", at positions 524 to 776 of the family's 1533-position model. The record is from RNAcentral.
UACAGAGGAGCCAAGCGUUGUCCGGAUUGACUGGGCGUAAAGCGCACGCAGGCGGUCGCGCGCGUGGGGUGUGAAAUCUGGCCGCUUAACGGCCAGGCGCCAUCCCAUACGGCGCGACUGGAGGCUUGCAGAGGUCGGUGGAAUUGCCGGUGUAGUGGUGAAAUGCGUAGAUAUCAGGAGGAACACCGGUGGCGAAAGCGGCUCACUGGACCGUUACUGACGCUGAGGUGCGAAAGCUAGGGGAGCAAACGGG